CCUACGGGGGGCUGCAGUGAGGAAUAUUGGUCAAUGGCCGGAAGGCUGAACCAGCCAAGCCGCGUGAAGGACGAAGGUGCCAAGCAUUGUAAACUUCUUUUGUCAAGGGACAAAAUCAGGCUCGAGAGCCUGACCGAGGGUACUUGAAGAAAAAGAAUCGGCUAACUCCGUACCAGCAGCCGCGGUAAUACGGAGGAUGCGAGCGUGAUCCGGAUUUAUUGGGUUUAAAGGGUGCGUAGGCGGACUGUUAAGUCAGCGGUAAAAGCCCGGGGCUCAACCCCGGCGAGCCGUUGAAACUGGCGGUCUUGAGAUGUCGAGAGGUAUGCGGAAUGCGAAGUGUAGCGGUGAAAUGCUUAGAUAUUGCGCAGAACUCCGAUUGCGAAGGCAGCAUACCGGCGGCGAUCUGACGCUGAGGCACGAAAGCGUGGGUAUCGAACAGGAUUAGAUACCCUAGUAGUC
RNAcentral lists this ribosomal RNA (459 nucleotides) under uncultured bacterium. RNAcentral describes it as "partial 16S ribosomal RNA". It matches the Rfam family "Bacterial small subunit ribosomal RNA", at positions 338 to 795 of the family's 1533-position model. The record is from RNAcentral.